GAUGAAGAACGUAGCGAAAUGCGAUAAGUAAUGCGAAUUGCAGAAUUUCCGUGAAUCAUCGAAUCUUUGAACGCACAUUGCGCCCGCCAGUAUUCUGGCGGGCAUGCCUGUUCGAGCGUCAUUUCAACCAUCAAGCCCCAGGCUUGUGUUGGGGGCCUGCAGCUGCUGCAGCCCCCUAAAAGCAGUGGCGGACUCGCUGUCAUACCGAGCGCAGUAGUUACAUCUCGCUCUGGGCAUGGCGGCGGGCACCUGCCGUAAAACACUCUUUCUAAGGUUGACCUCGGAUCAGGUAGGAAUACCCGCUGAACUUAAGCAUAUCAAUAAGCGGAGGA
This 332-nucleotide unclassified non-coding RNA is filed under the name soil metagenome. RNAcentral describes it as "partial contains 5.8S ribosomal RNA, internal transcribed spacer 2, and large subunit ribosomal RNA". The stretch from base 1 to 121 matches the Rfam family "5.8S ribosomal RNA", at positions 35 to 154 of the family's 154-position model. The record is from RNAcentral.